CAAUGGCUGGCGUGGGCAAUUAUCAUCAUUAAAGUAGGCUAACAGGUAAAAGGUGAAUAAAGUCUUAACAGGCAUGUUUUGCCAUUUAAAAGAUUCCUAAUCUUUGUGUCCACCCAUUUCCUCCCGCUUUACUCAUCAGAAUGACUGUAAAUCUCACUCUAGAUAAGAACAACUGAACUUGGGCACACAGCAGCCGAUGGUGCAGGGGUGAUGAGAUGCGAAAAGGUGCUGAUCAUAAUCACAUUACUGUGGAAAGGCAGCUGGUUGUAUACGGAUACAUUUUGUUUAGGCAGUUGGGAAUCUUGGCCAGGUCCCCAAUGGUAAUCACACACAUGCACAGGUGCUGCCCUUUCGAGGAGGGUUCAGCCAGCCUUUCCACCAUCAUGGAAGCCUUGGUGAGCCCCUUGGGAGGGGAGAGACGCUGCCCAUUGCCUCUCCUCCAUCUUGGGAACCUCAGUGCAGAGGAACCCAGGUGCCUGGCCAUUUACCCUACACUGUGGGUCAGGCAGUCAGCACAGGAGGUGCCCGAGACUCAGCACCCAGCUCAUCCAAAGGAACCCAAGGUAAAUCCACUCUAACAAGGGAAAACACUUUGCAUACAAC
Molecule: long non-coding RNA, 603 nt
Filed under: Chinchilla lanigera (long-tailed chinchilla)
Lineage: Eukaryota; Metazoa; Chordata; Mammalia; Rodentia; Chinchillidae
Description: lncRNA (ENSCLAG00000025102.1)
Source: RNAcentral